Molecule: ribosomal RNA, 700 nt
Filed under: uncultured bacterium
Lineage: Bacteria
Description: bacterial SSU rRNA
Rfam family: Bacterial small subunit ribosomal RNA
Source: RNAcentral
AGAGUUUGAUCAUGGCUCAGAUUGAACGCUGGCGGAAUGCUUUACACAUGCAAGUCGAACGGCAGCACGGGUGCUUGCACCUGGUGGCGAGUGGCGAACGGGUGAGUAAUGCACCGGAACGUACCCAGUAAUGGGGGAUAACACAUCGAAAGAUGUGCUAAUACCGCAUACGCCCUGAGGGGGAAAGCGGGGGAUCGUAAGACCUCGCGUUAUUGGAGCGGCCGAUGCCGGAUUAGCUAGUUGGUGGGAUAAAGGCCUACCGAGGCGACGAUCCGUAGCUGGUCUGAGAGGACGACCAGCCACACUGGGACUGAGACACGGCCCAGACUCCUACGGGAGGCAGCAGUGGGGAAUUUUGGACAAUGGGGGAAACCCUGAUCCAGCCAUUCCGCGUGAGUGAAGAAGGCCUUCGGGUUGUAAAGCUCUUUCGCAAGGAAAGAAAACUUACCUACUAAUACUAGGUGAGGUUGACGGUACCUUGAUAAGAAGCACCGGCUAACUACGUGCCAGCAGCCGCGGUAAUACGUAGGGUGCGAGCGUUAAUCGGAAUUACUGGGCGUAAAGCGUGCGCAGGCGGUUCGACAAGUCUGAUGUGAAAUCCCCGGGCUCAACCUGGGAACUGCGUUGGAAACUGUCGGGCUAGAGUGUAGAAGAGGGGGGUAGAAUUCCACGUGUAGCAGUGAAAUGCGUAGAGAUGUGG